CUGCAGGGAUGUCAUGGACGCCUUCCAGGCCUGCCUGAAGUCAGCAGGACAGGCGACGGAGUGAGCACGCUGGGUCUGACCACUGGUCGGCUGCACCGAGUCCUCCUCCAUCCCAGCAUCCCCCGGCUCACUGCUCCAUCGGCUCGUCCUUCGUGAUGCGGGGAAGCGGAGGAGAGAGAGAGGGGGAGGGGAGACGGCGGUCUCUCCCUUGUCCACUGUGUGUCUCGAAGAGGUCCCAGUGCGAACAGCACACCUGCUGUCUGUGCAGAGGUUGCAACGAACAAUAAACCUGAGACUGUUUUCUGUG
This is a non-coding RNA of Lepisosteus oculatus (spotted gar), 307 nucleotides long. The record is from RefSeq and is a predicted model, not a curated record. NCBI's taxonomy places the organism in Eukaryota, Metazoa, Chordata, Actinopteri, Semionotiformes, Lepisosteidae.